GCGUUUUAUUUUAUUUGGCUUUACACAUAUUAAUUCAUGGUGUUUAUGUAUGGUUAUAGGUUACGGAUGCAACGUCGUUAAACAAUUCCAGGACAAUUAAAUUGCUGAUUCAAUCGAACAUAUGGUAUGAACAUGGUUCGUUUCACGGCGUGUUUCGGUGUCUUGCCUUGAAUCAAGGCGUGUAAAAACGUAAAGCUUGUUUUUAUCUAUCUUUUUUUAUUGUCACGUCUUUAUCCAUCUAUAUAACGCUUAAUCAUCAAUUAUUAUAUUAAACUUCAAUAAAGGCAACAACAUCCUGGUUGGUUUGUUUUAUCUGAUUAGUGUACCAAAUUCAAUUGGAACAAUAUCAGAUCUAAGAAAUUAUUGAUUAUUGAUACAUGCAGGUUAUGUGUGAUCCUUAUACACCAGCUGGUGUUCCAAUUCCAACCAACAAGAGACACAACGCUGCUAAAAUUUUCAGACACCCAUCGUUGCCUCCGAGGAGCCUUGCAACCACGAUGCAUGAAGAAGAUUCAGGGAAAUGAUAGGGAGCUUGGUUUAACCGUUCUUACAAUGUCUGAGAUACUAUCCAUGGCUGAGGAAAGAGGAGACUCAGUUUCUGUAUCAGUUUACGAGGUUUCUCAGGAAACCGUGUAUGACCUUUUAGACCAAGAGAAGCGAGUGGUUGCUGUACUGGAAGGUGCACAAGGGAAAAUUCAACUAAAGGGACUUCCUCAGGUACCUGUGAAGUCACUCUCAGAAUUCCAUAAAGGUGUGAUGAUACAUGCUACCACUGGCAACGCCAAUCCAGGCUCCCUUGGGAGGAUGAACUUUCUUGAUAUGGCAGGAUAUGAGGAUUCCAGGAAACAAAACAGUGCUCUAGCUCCUCUAGAGAUUGCCAGAGUUAAUAAGUUGAUAUAUGCUUUACAGAAUGUCAUGUAUGCUCUCAACGGAAAUGAAUCCCAUGUGCCAUAUCGGGAGAGCAAACUCACUCGAAUGCUGAAAGAUUGUUUAAAAGGAUGCAACAGACGUUGCUGAUCACAUGCUUGCCUCGGGAAUAUAGCCAAAACUCCUUUUACAUGUUAAACUUAGCAUCACGGAUCUGUCUAGGUAGUAACCGAGCCAUGACUAAUCCUACUAAGAAGAAGAUCUACGGUCUUGAAAGAUCUAUUUCAUUAUGCUCUGCCGCUCAAAGGAGACAGACACCUUUGACUGUGUCUGCUACUUCUAGAAAACAGACAGUGCUAAGGGGAAAUGUGACAGAGAGAAAAGACUAAAAUCAACAUUGCUGCUUCUGCAAUUAAAGCAAGGAAACUGUUCCGGGAAGCAAACGAUUCCGUGAAAUGUAAAAAUAGCAUGUUGGAAAAUUUAAUUAAUACGUCAUGAAGUGGAACAAUCUAGAUUCUUCCUUUACAAAGAGGUAAAACAGAGCGUAUAGAAACAGAGACUAAGCGACCAAGAGU
RNA transcript from Arabidopsis lyrata subsp. lyrata, 1442 nucleotides. It is a transcript of the gene named kinesin-like protein KIN-10C, with no coding region annotated. The transcript has 9 exons. The record is from RefSeq and is a predicted model, not a curated record. Lineage: Eukaryota; Viridiplantae; Streptophyta; Magnoliopsida; Brassicales; Brassicaceae.